Molecule: long non-coding RNA, 389 nt
Filed under: Capsicum annuum
Lineage: Eukaryota; Viridiplantae; Streptophyta; Magnoliopsida; Solanales; Solanaceae
Description: long non-coding RNA (CANN_LNC015210)
Source: RNAcentral
UUAAAGUGAAAUAGUCCUUGUUUAGGUCGAGAGACGCUUGGAUUUACCAUCGACUACAAUUCUCUAUAAGCAAUUACAUGUCAAGACUCUACACACUCAUAGCCAAUAGAGACGUAUACCUCAGAAGGUGGACAUAACCCCAACGCCUCAAUUCUCAUUGUUUACAACACACGUGACAAUCUCUCUUUAUUUUGCUAUUUUCAGUUCUUACAUUCUUGUUUUGGUUACAUACUACAAUCCCCCCUUUCCUACGAAACUUGCACUAAAAGUCUAGUAAUUUUUCUUGCUUGUUGGCCAAGCUAUUCUCUGUGGGAUCGAUACCCAACCCAGGUUGGGUUCUAUAUUUGCUAACGACCGCUUUACACUCCCACGAGAGCUGUAGAUUGAGC